This 255-nucleotide ribosomal RNA is filed under the name uncultured bacterium. RNAcentral's name for it is "partial 16S ribosomal RNA". It matches the Rfam family "Bacterial small subunit ribosomal RNA", at positions 30 to 279 of the family's 1533-position model. The record is from RNAcentral.
AUUGAACGCUGGCGGUAUGCUUAAUACAUGCAAGUCGAACGGAAACGACAGGAGCUUGCUCCUAGGCGUCGAGUGGCGGACGGGUGAGUAACGCGUAGGAAUCUGCCAAGUAGUGGGGAAUAGCUCGGGGAAACUCGGAUUAAUACCGCAUAAUCCUUACGAGGGAAAGGAAGCCUCUUCUUGAAAGCUUUCGCUACUUGAUGAGCCUGCGUUGAAUUAGCUAGUUGGUGAGAUAAAAGCUCACCAAGGCGACGA